Molecule: unclassified non-coding RNA, 207 nt
Filed under: Hevea brasiliensis (rubber tree)
Lineage: Eukaryota; Viridiplantae; Streptophyta; Magnoliopsida; Malpighiales; Euphorbiaceae
Source: RNAcentral
CAAGAUUGGAAACUGAAGAAAAGGAGAAAUAAAACCAAAAAAUUAUCCUGAUCCAUUAAUAUCUAAGAUAAUUUCAGACAUUACAAUGAUUUACAAUACACUGAUAAUGACUUUAUAUCUUUUGCUCCUAAGGAUUACAAGUCAUAACUCAAAUUGCUAAAAUAGAUUAAAAAAAAUUCCAGUCCACUCAGAAGAGGCAGAUAACAG